AUUGAACGCUGGCGGCAGGCCUAACACAUGCAAGUCGAGCGGAUGAAGGGAGCUUGCUCCUGGAUUCAGCGGCGGACGGGUGAGUAAUGCCUAGGAAUCUGCCUGGUAGUGGGGUAUAACGUCCGGAAACGGGCGCUAAUACCGCAUACGUCCUGAGGGAGAAAGUGGGGGAUCUUCGGACCUCACGCUAUCAGAUGAGCCUAGGUCGGAUUAGCUAGUUGGUGGGGUAAAGGCCUACCAAGGCGACGAUCCGUAACUGGUCUGAGAGGAUGAUCAGUCACACUGGAACUGAGACACGGUCCAGACUCCUACGGGAGGCAGCAGUGGGGAAUAUUGGACAAUGGGCGAAAGCCUGAUCCAGCCAUGCCGCGUGUGUGAAGAAGGUCUUCGGAUUGUAAAGCACUUUAAGUUGGGAGGAAGGGCAGUAAGUUAAUACCUUGCUGUUUUGACGUGACCAACAGAAUAAGCACCGGCUAACUUCGU
This 483-nucleotide ribosomal RNA is filed under the name uncultured bacterium. Its description in RNAcentral is "partial 16S ribosomal RNA". It matches the Rfam family "Bacterial small subunit ribosomal RNA", at positions 30 to 506 of the family's 1533-position model. The record is from RNAcentral.